This 75-nucleotide microRNA precursor is filed under the name Paramuricea clavata. The record is from RNAcentral. Lineage: Eukaryota; Metazoa; Cnidaria; Anthozoa; Malacalcyonacea; Plexauridae.
CACAAUUUAUCUGCAAAUAACAGUAUUUCCAUUACUUGAAGUAAUGGAAAUACUGUUAUUUGCAGAUAAAUUGUG